Apteryx haastii (Great spotted kiwi) is the source of this 1011-nucleotide long non-coding RNA. Lineage: Eukaryota; Metazoa; Chordata; Aves; Apterygiformes; Apterygidae. The record is from Ensembl.
AUGAAGACAUCAGCCUUUCACAGCAAUCGUCGCUCGGUUGCUGAGGACCCCAGUGCGUUGGCUGAGUGCUUGCAUGUCAACAGAGGCCCAGCUGUGGUCUUGCAGAGCACAAACAUCACCAUGCCCUUGCAAGACUUCAGCCACUCUGAAAAGCAUCAAUUGUAUUACCUGAAAAAGUACCUCAGGCAGAUAGUUGAGGGCCUGAGUUUCUCCAAGGACGUACUAGAGCAACAAGGACUGUCCUAUAAGGAGUACAACUUCAAACACCUCUAUGAUCCUUCUGAUAUCAUUCAAAAGCCAAAAAGUGAAAAGCCCAUUGCUAUGAACUUCAAGAGCUUGGUCAGACUCCACCCUCAGAAGCAACCACUUUUCCCUAUGAAAAAUAAUGGACUUUCUCCUAAGCUCAGGAAGGAAGACAGCCUGUGGGGCUCCAAACUAGAAAUCUUGCCCAGAAAGUUAUUUCUACCACCUGUUCCUUCUUGUAAGACUUCAGGCGUGCAGGCAUCCCUGGAAAAGCCCUGUGAGAAGUUAUCUGGCUCCCUAUCAAGAGGAAGACAGGAAAAGCAGGUCUCUGAGAAGAACAUCCCAGGAUCAGAGAAUAUGACCUGGGGGGUGGAGAAAACAGGGCUGGAGAAGCUGAACAGGAUGACACCUCAAUGGACUGUGGAUCAGCAGAGGGCCAGGAGUGGCUCAGUUCAAUGUAACCCCCUUGACUCUGAAAAACAGAAGUUUUCCUGGAACACAAUCAGGGAUGAGCUUUCUUCUGACAGAGAUUUGAAAAUAUUGGAUAAUAUUCAGGGCAGAGAAAAUGACAUGGAAAUCAUAUCUCAGACACAAGCUGAGAAGACUCCUGGGACAGUCCUCCCCAUCUCCUGCAGGUAUAGAGGAGACAUCUUAUUUCGUAGUGUUUGCUCCGUGGCUGUUCCUCAUUACUACUGCUUGUGUUUAGGCAUUCCAUGGUGCAUCAUCUGUAUUUCUGCAUGGAGAGACAUGGAGGCGUUAUGUCCUUGA